CGAGACGACGCUGGCGGCGUGCUUAACACAUGCAAGUCGAACGAUGAACCGGAGCUUGCUCCGGGGAUUAGUGGCGAACGGGUGAGUAACACGUGGGCAACUUGCCCCAGACAUCGGGAUAACCAUUCGAAAGGAUGGCUAAUACCGGAUAUGACCACUUCGGGCAUCCGAUGGUGGUGGAAAGGAUUCUGGUCUGGGAUGGGCCCGCGGCCUAUCAGCUAGUUGGUGGGGUAAUGGCCUACCAAGGCGACGACGGGUAGCCGGCCUGAGAGGGCGACCGGCCACACUGGGACUGAGACACGGCCCAGACUCCUACGGGAGGCAGCAGUGGGGAAUAUUGCGCAAUGGGCGAAAGCCUGACGCAGCGACGCCGCGUGAGGGACGAAGGUCUUCGGAUUGUAAACCUCUUCAGCAGGGACGAAGCGAAAGUGACUGUACCUGCAGAAGAAGCACCGGCUAACUACGUG
RNAcentral lists this ribosomal RNA (467 nucleotides) under uncultured bacterium. Its description in RNAcentral is "bacterial SSU rRNA". It matches the Rfam family "Bacterial small subunit ribosomal RNA", at positions 33 to 507 of the family's 1533-position model. The record is from RNAcentral.